GAUGAACGCUGGCGGCGUGCUUAACACAUGCAAGUCGAACGAAGCAUUUAGAACAGAUUAUUUCGGUAUGAAGUUCUUUAUGACUGAGUGGCGGACGGGUGAGUAACGCGUGGGUAACCUGCCUUGUACUGGGGGAUAGCAGCUGGAAACGGCUGGUAAUACCGCAUAAGCGCACAAUGUUGCAUGACAUGGUGUGAAAAACUCCGGUGGUAUAAGAUGGACCCGCGUCUGAUUAGCUAGUUGGUGAGAUAACAGCCCACCAAGGCGACGAUCGGUAGCCGGACUGAGAGGUUGAACGGCCACAUUGGGACUGAGACACGGCCCAGACUCCUACGGGAGGCAGCAGUGGGGAAUAUUGCACAAUGGGGGAAACCCUGAUGCAGCGACGCCGCGUGGAGGAAGAAGGUCUUCGGGAUUGGUAAACUCCUGUUGUUGAGGAAGAUAAUGACGGUACUCAACAAGGAAGUGACGGCUAACUACGUGCCAGCA
RNAcentral lists this ribosomal RNA (489 nucleotides) under uncultured bacterium. Its description in RNAcentral is "bacterial SSU rRNA". It matches the Rfam family "Bacterial small subunit ribosomal RNA", at positions 28 to 513 of the family's 1533-position model. The record is from RNAcentral.